UUUGCUCUAGAUUUUUGAAACCACAACAACUCCUCAUGAGCUAAAACUUCUUCAAUUUCCUGUCACAGUUCGCACUCCGGUCUAUGAAGUGAUUGAGUGGAGCAAACCUCAAGGACUUUUUGAACCCUUUCCAGCUUAGAAAUCAACUUUCUUUUGCGUAUAAAGAUAUUCUGCUCUGCUUUUUCCAUGUAUUUUAUAUUUCUCGUAUUAUUUCACUGUUCUGAUCUUUUUUAUUGUUGUUUUUUGUUUGUUUAUCAUCACCGUUUGCAGUAGGUGUUUCUAGGAAAACUUGUUUACAUCAUCGAUGCUGGAACAAAAGAAUAUUUGCAGAAGAAACCUGCAGGUGGUGAAGACGAGGACUUUUCAAGGGAUGCAAUGAGCGUGCUCAAUCUAAUGAAUCAACUGCAUAGUGAACUAGAACAGAGUAAGCUGAAACUUGAAUGUAGCAUUCCAAUAAUUGGUGCCCUUUGCGAGGAGCUGCGUUCAGGGCGGUCUAUACUCUAUAGUGUUGCCUGCUUCAGCAACUACUUUCAAUUCCAAACCCCAAGGAAACAGGAAAUCUAAGAAAAACAAGAAGAGUCGAGGCCGAAAUUGAAAGUAGAUAAGCAUUCCUAAAAUCCAGAUCUUCGUUUUAACUUGAUGGUUGAAAGUUAUGAUAGAAGUUCUGGGAUGACUUGAAAGCUCAUCUAUCUACUUGAUAUUGAAAUCUGUAGUCUGAAUUGGGUUUGCAUUCUGUUUUUUGAACUGCAACCUUUCUGAAAA
Gossypium arboreum is the source of this 762-nucleotide long non-coding RNA. RefSeq lists it as uncharacterized. The record is from RefSeq and is a predicted model, not a curated record. NCBI's taxonomy places the organism in Eukaryota, Viridiplantae, Streptophyta, Magnoliopsida, Malvales, Malvaceae. The transcript is spliced from 2 exons.